Molecule: unclassified non-coding RNA, 610 nt
Filed under: Hevea brasiliensis (rubber tree)
Lineage: Eukaryota; Viridiplantae; Streptophyta; Magnoliopsida; Malpighiales; Euphorbiaceae
Source: RNAcentral
AUUCACAUGGAGGCGAGUCAAUCUAGCAAAUAAGCAGAGGGAAAAUGACACAUGUAAGCAUCCCAACAAUUAUGGCAUCAGCAAGUAAUUCAAACUAUAGUUCCCAAUGAGACAAAAUUAACUCAGAAUAGCAAAUUAAGCAUCCCAUGACAAUAAAAUGAAUCAAUUUUUUUUUAAAAUAUUCAAUUACAAUCUAGAAAUCCAAGUACAAACCAACAAUUAUAAUUAUCUGAUAUCGCUCCCACUGAGCCACAGCAAGCAGCAAGAAAACUACGAAUUGAACAAGGGGUGGCAUAGCUCAGUAGGAGCUACCAUCACAACUAAAUUAAUACCGCAGGGAUGGCUUCAAGUUGAUUCAAUUCCCAUCUACAAAUUUAUCUACUUCAAUUGGUGAAGUUUAUGAAUUCCUCUUUCUCAUACACUCACAAAUUUAAGUAUAACAUGUAGACGAAAUUAAAGCUCAGUUUCUUUUAUAUCACUGAAUUACUAAAAAUAAACUCAGUUCUAGCUCGCAAAGUAACAAGCCCCGUCAACGGCACUCAAAGUCAACUCUUUCAAGUUCAUAAGUUUAACACAAACACACGCGCACACAAAAAAAAAAAAAAAAAAA